GGCCCCCGCGGCUCGGACCCGGGCCGGCAGACAGGCCAUCCAUCAUCCGCCCUCCUCCCGCGGAGCGCCGCAGCCGCCGCGGCCAAUCCGGCGGCAGGUGGGGCCGCACCUGCGCGACAGCCCGCCGCUUCCCUCCGCUCCCUUCGCCGCGCCUCGCGUGCUAGCGGUGCCCUUGUGAGCCACUGCGUUCUCCAAGGCCAGAACGGGACAGAUGGAGAAAUUGAGAUGAGAGCUCAUCCACAAGAUUACCCAUCAAUGAGCACCAAUAGCAACCAAAUCCACUAGAAGACUGGGAGCUUUUAAGUCAAGAAACUUACAUCAGUAUCAUCAUUCCAAGAAGCGGUAUCCAAGCUGUUUUAUCGAAAGUGCGCAUGGGAGAUAAGACUCUGAGAAUUUAUAGAAACAAACAUUAGAAGGCAGGAAUGUGGAGAGAAGAAAGCUACCUGACAAGGGAAUCUCAGGAUACAAGGAAAACACCAAGGCUGUACAGGAAGCAUAGCAUCUUCUGCUUUGGGAGAGGCUUCAGGAAGCAUCCAAUCUUGGUGAAAGUUGAAAGGGGAGUGAAGUGCCUCACAUGAUGGGAGCAGGAGCAAGAGAGACUAAGGGGUAGGUGCUGCACACUUUUAAACAACCAAGUCUCAUGAGAACUCACUCACUAUCAUGAGAACAGCUCCAGGACCAUGGUGCCAAACCAUUCACAAGAAAUCCACUCAUAGGAUAGAACCACCUGCCACCAGGCCCCACCUCCAACAUUGGGGACCACAAUUUGACAUGAAAUUUGAUGGGGACACAGACCCAAACCAUAUCAAGGAGGGAAGGAGUUGGGUAAGGGUUGAUAAACUACCUGUGGGUAAUACGCUCAUUACCUGGGUGAUGGGAUCUGUACUCCAAACCCAAUAUGCCCAUGUAACAAAACUUACACGUACCCUCAUAUCUAAAAUAAACAUUGAAAUUAUUUUAAAAAAGAAAUUAUGUUAAAUGUUAUCAAAUGCUUUAUUUGUUUACAGAUUUUUUCUUUUAAUAUCUUACUGUGGUAAUAUAUUAAGUGUUAAUGUGUGGUAACAUGGUAACAUAUUAAAAAAUACAUUACAGUAACGGUAAC
Molecule: long non-coding RNA, 1102 nt
Filed under: Homo sapiens (human)
Lineage: Eukaryota; Metazoa; Chordata; Mammalia; Primates; Hominidae
Description: lymphatic endothelial transcriptional regulator lncRNA 1
Source: RNAcentral